ACUCUGCUCACUCUCUCCCUCUCUCUCUGAAAAUCUCCUCCCGCUCCAAAACCCUAACCAUUGCCGCUGCUCCUUCUCCUCCACUCGCAACCCAAUCCCAGCCGCCCAGCCUUCCCUCCUCGUCUUCUCCGGCGGAACCGCCUUCAACGGCGUUGUUGAGGAGCUCAAGAACUUCACCACUCGCAUCGCCCACGUGCUUCCCGCUUCCCGCGACGGAGGAAGCACUACCGAGAUUGUCCGCGUCCUUGAGAUUGGCCUGUAAAAACACCUCCGAGGCGGUCGCAGUCCGACAAUUGCUUGGCCGGCCAAAAUCUCAAACCAGCUCUCCACCUCCGCCAAAAUCAGGUCGCUCUCCAACCUCUCGAUUAUCAAAUCGGCCUCCGCCUUCGCCUCUGCCUUGCCUUCGCUCCUUGCAGCUUAGUUCGUACUCAAUGUUUGGCUCCCUUUUGACAUUUGGUGCAAUGAUUGGUGCUAUCACGAUUGGUCCCAUCGCUGAUUUCAUUGGUUGAAAAGGGGCCAUGAGACUGUCCAGUGUUUUUUGUGUUGCAGGUUGGCUAGCUAUAUACUUUGCUGAGAGUAUUUGGCCUCUUGACAGUGGGAGGCUGGCAAAUGGUUAUGGAAUGGGAGCCUUUUCUUACGUGGUACAUGUUUUCAUAGCUGAAAUUGCUCCAAAAAAUCUUCGAGAAAGGCUAACUACUGCAAAUCAGGUAAACAUGUAAUAAGAAUGUAAUCCUUGAAGCUACUAGUACCUUUUUUUCGUAAGUUGGCUUUGAUUUUUCAGCAAGCAAGAGCAAACAAGUGAUGGCGACUCUUGUUUGUUUUACAGUUAAUGAUCUGUGCUGGAGUGUCCGUUUCAUACAUAAUUGGGAUAGUAGUGAGUUGGAGGGCUCUAGCAUUAAUAGGACUUAUUCCGUGUGCUGUGAUCAUUUUCGGCCUCUUUUUCAUUCCUGAGUCUCGAAGAUGGUUG
This is a long non-coding RNA of Rosa rugosa (rugosa rose), 967 nucleotides long. RefSeq lists it as uncharacterized. The transcript has 6 exons. Lineage: Eukaryota; Viridiplantae; Streptophyta; Magnoliopsida; Rosales; Rosaceae. The record is from RefSeq and is a predicted model, not a curated record.